This 18-nucleotide unclassified non-coding RNA is filed under the name Chlamydomonas reinhardtii. RNAcentral's name for it is "small RNA Cre_3119". The record is from RNAcentral. Lineage: Eukaryota; Viridiplantae; Chlorophyta; Chlorophyceae; Chlamydomonadales; Chlamydomonadaceae.
UGCGGCAGGCCUGUCAGC